GUGUUAGGCUUGGGACCAGGGUAGCCGCGCCAUGCCCAUGCUCCUGGCCCUGGUGGUCGCCGCCGUCUGACUCAGUCCGCAUGAGCACGAGCUGCAUCUCCUUCUCCUGGUCGCCGUCCUCGCGCAAGCUAUGGUCCUCAUCCCCAAGAUCCAUGGCGUCCGAGCGGCUGAAGCGCUGGCGACGGCGAGGCAGCGAGUAGCUGGACGCAAUGGCGGCGGUGACUAGGGAUGCCCGAGGAGGCGAGGAGCCGAGAUGAGAUCAGGAGGAGACGAGAAGGAUAUCAAUCUCCGUCUCUCAGAAUAUGGGACGUGAUCUCUAUUCAUUAUUCACCAAAGCCAAAUCACCCAAAUCACGCAGAUUCCUUUUAUGUUCUAUCAUUCCAUGUACGUGUGUAUGUGGGCUACAUGUAUCUCGUGGACUACAUAGACUGAUUUUGUGGGAAGUUAGAUUAGAUAUAUGAGUAGUGAAGGCCCACUUAACAGAUUUUACGCGGGUAUAUGGGUACACGGGUAUGGGUUAUGCUAUCCCAUACCCGUACCCACUCUGCCCGAUGGGUUUAAUAUUUUUCUAUUUAUAUACCCAUAGGUAAUUUUUUAUCUCAUACCCUUACCCUAAUAGGGUUUUGACCCGCCGGGUACGCGGAUAAUGGGUACCCAUUGCCAUCUCUAGGUGAUUGUGAUAUUGAACCAAAUUUCUUGGUGAUUUAUGAGAUUUUAGUUGAAUUUGGUUAGGUGAUUGUGUCUUCAAAAGAUAGUCAAAGAUGUUCGACGGUUAUGAUAUUUUAGGUCUAGUAGAUGAGCAUGGUAACUAUUAUAUUGGUGGAUAAACAGAUAUUUAAUAUAGUUUGGAACAAUUUGGAUUUAGUUAGGUGAUUGUGAUUUUAACCAAAAUUUAGGGUGAAUUAUGAGGUUUUGAUUAGAUUUAGUUAGGUGAUUGGGAUCUUGAUGAGGUAGUAAAAGAUGUUUGGUAGAUUAUGUGAAUUUAGGUCUAAUAGGUGAGCAUCUUGACUUAUAUUGGUGGAUAAUUUUUUUUUACAAACUUGGAAAAAUUUGGAUUUAGUUAGACGAUUGUGAUCUUGAACCAAUUUUAUGGUGGAUUAUGAGAUUUUUGAUGGAUUAGUUAGUUGAUUGUGAUCUUGAGAAGAUAGUCAAAGAUAUUCGAUGUAUUAAUUAACUUGAACAAUUUAGAUUUAGUUAGGUGAUUGUGAUAUUGAACUAAAUUUCUCUGUUAUGAGAUUUUAGUUGGAUUUAGUUAGGUGAUUGUGUCUUCAGAAGAUAAUCAAAGAUGUUUGAUGGGUUAUGAGAUUUUAGGUCUAAUAAAUGAGCAUGGUGAUUAUUAUAUUGAUAGAUAAACAAAUAUUGAAUUAGUUUGAAACAAUUUGGAUUUAGUUCGGUGAUGAUGAUCUUUUAACCUAAUUUUUACGGUGGAUUAUAAGGUUUUGGUUGGAUUUAGUUAGGUGAUUGUGAUUUUGAUGAGCUAGUAAAAGAUGUUCGGUGGAUUAUGUGAAUUUAGGUCUAGUAGGUGAGCAUGUUGAUUAUUAUAUUGGUGGGUAGAAAUAAGGGCCACACGAGUGACUCAAGGCGAUGAUGCCACUACUGAUGAAAAUAACUGGUAAACACGGCAAGAGAGGCGGAGAGACUGGGGGUGAUGGCAACAGAUGGACUUUGAUCCAACAUCCCACUUGCCAGUGCGCUCCGUUCCCUGCUGAUCCGGCUUGGUGUCCUUGUCCUGUUUGUGGAUUUGUGUCACGUACUUGAUUAAGCAUCCCACGUUCUCCUAAUGUGCGCCCUUGGUCUUGAUGAUAGGUAGCGCCGUGUUCUCGGGCGCGUCCCGUGGGUAAAAUUCAGGUAUGUGUCGAUUGUCUGAGCUCUUGCUCGCCAUUGUGCCGCCCAACAAGGGAACACGGGAUGUGGGAUCAAGACAACACACAUAGCAACCCGCCACCAGGCAACGGACGUCCAUCUGGACUUACAGGGAGCGGAGAUGGACACAAAGGGGGAUGUUGAGCUCCAUAGUAGUCUCAUUAGUGUGCUCAUCAGUAAGAGCAGCACAAGCAAGAAGAUCCUGGAUAUACUCCUCAUAGAAAAUAAAGAAGCCAUUGAAGGUAGAAGAAACCUCAAUCUCAAGGAAGUAGUAACUUUAGUAAAUAUGGAGCAAUUUGAAUUUACUUAGGCGAGUGUGAUCCUGAACAAAUUUUUUGGUGAAUUAUAAGAUUUUUCAAUGGAUUUAGUUGAUUGUGAUCUUGAGGAGAUAGUCAAAGAUGUUCGGUGUAUUAAUUAAUCUUAAAGAAUAUGGAUUUCGUUAGGUGAUUGUGUCUUGAGAUGAUAAUCAAAGAUGUUUCGUGGAUCAUGAGAUUUUAGGUCUAGUAGAUGAGCAUGAUGAUUAUUAUAUAGUUAGGUGAAUGUGAUUUUGACGAGCUAGUAAAAGAUGUUCGGUGAAUUGUUGUGAAUUUAGGUCUAGUAGGUGAGUAUAUUGAUUAUUAUAUUGAUGGAUAAAUAAAUCUUUAAUAAAUUUGAAACAAUUUGAAUUUAGUUAGAUGAUUGUGACCUUGAACCAAAUUUCAUGGUUGGUUAUGAGAUUUUUGAUGGAUUAGUUAGUUGAUUGUGAUCUUCAAGGAAUAGUCAAAGGUGUUUUGUGGAUUAAUUAAUCUUGAACAAUUUGGAUUUAGUUAAGUGGUUGCGAUAUUAAACCGAAUUUCACGCUGGAUUAUCAGAUUGUAGGUGGAUUUAGUUAGAUGAUUGUGUCUUGAGAAUAUUAUCAUAGAUGUUUGCUAGUCUAUGAGAUUUUAGGUUUAAUAGAUGGGAAUGGUGAUUAUUAUAUUGGUAGAUAAACAAAUCUUUAAUUUAGUUUGGAACAAUUUUGACUCAGUUAGGUGAUUGUUAUUUUUCAACCAAAUUUACGGUGGAUUUUGAGAUAUUUUUGGAUUUAGUUAGGUGACUGAUCUUGACAAGAUACUCGAAUAUUUUUGGUGAAUUAUGUUAAUUUAGGUCUAGUAAGUGAGCAUGGUGGUAAUUAUAUUGGUGGAUAGAUGGAUCUUCAGUAAAAAUGAAGCAAUUUGGAUGUAAUUAGGCGAUUGUGAUCUUGAACAAAUUUCACGGUGGAUUAUGAGAUUUUCAAUAGAUCUAGUUAGUAGAUUGUGAUUUUGGGGGAUGUCAAAGAUGUUUGGUGGACUAAUUAAUCUUGAACAGUUUUGAUUUAGUUAGGUGAUUGCGAUAUUGAACCAAAUUUCUCCGUGAUUUAUGAUAUCUUAGUUGGAUUUAGUUAGAUGAUUGUGUCUUUAGAAGAUAGUCAAGGAUGUUUGGUGGAUUAUGAGAUUUCAGGUCUAGUAGAUGAGCAUGGCGAUUAUUAUAUUGGUGAAUAAACAAAUAUUUAAUUUAGUUUGGGACAAUUUAGAUUUAGUUAGGUGAUUGUGAUAUUGAACCAAAUUUCUCUGUGAUUUAUGAGAUUUUAGUUGGAUUUAGUUAGGUGAUUGUGUUUUGAGAAGAUAGUCAAAGAUGUUUGCUAGAUUAUGAGAUUUAGGUCUAAUAGAUGAGCAUGGUGAUUAUUAUACUGGUGGAUAAACAGAUAAACUGAUAUUUAAUUUAGUUUGGAAUUUGGAUUUAGUUAGAUGAUUGUAAUCCUUUAACUUAAUUUUGGUGGAUUAUAAGGUUUUGGUUGGAUUUAGUUAGGUGAUUGUGAUUUUGACGAGCUAGUAAAAGAUUUUUGGUGGAUUAUGUGAAUUUAGGUCUAGUAGGUGAGCAUGUUGAUUAUUAUAUUGGUGGAUAAAUGGGUCUUUAGUAAACAUGGAGCAAUUUGGAUUUAGUUAGGCGAUUGUGAUCUAGUACAAAUUUCAUGGUGGAGAUUUGCAAUGGAUUUAGUUGAUUGUGAUCUUGAGAAGAUAGUCAGAGAUGUUCGGUGAAUAAAUUGAUCUUCAACAAUUUGAAUAUAUUUAGGUGAUUGUGAUAUUGAACCAAAAUUUUCUAUGAUUUUAGUUGGAUUUAAUUAGGUGAUUGUGUCUUGAGAUGAUAAUCAAAUAUGUUUGCUGGAUUAUGAGAUUUUAGGUCUAGUGGAUGAGCAUGGUGAUUACUAUAUUGAUGGAUAAGCAUAUAUUUAAUAUAGUUUGGAACAAUUUGGAUUUAGUUAGGUGAUUGAGAUCUUGACGAGCUAGUAAAAUAUGUUCGGUGGAUUAUGCGAAUUUAGGUCUAGUAGGUGCCUAUGUUGGUUAUUAUAUUGGUGGAUAAAUAUUUUUUUAAUAAACUUGGAAAAGUUUGGAUUUAGUUAGGCGAUUGUGAUUUUGAACCAAAUUUUAUGGUGGAUUAUGAGGAUUUUGAUGGAUUAGUUAGUUCAUUGUAAUCUUGAGGAGAUAGUCAAAGAUGUUCGGUGUAUUAAUUAAUCUUGAACAAUUUGCAUUUAGUUAGGUGAUUGUGAUAUUGAACCAAAUUUCUUCGCGAUUUAUGAGAUUUUAGUUGUGUUUAUUUAGGUGAUUGUGUUUUGAGAAGAUAGUUAAAGAUGUUUGGUGGAUUAUGAGAUUUUAGGUCUAAUAGAUGUGCAUGAUGAUUAUUAUAUUGGUGGAUAAGUGAAUCUUUAAUAAAUUUGGAUAAUUUGGAUUUAGUUAUCCGAAUUUGGUCUUGAAUCAAAUUUUAUGGUGGAUUAUGAGAGUUAGUUUGGCGCGCUCCGCUUCUUCCUCGAGGAGCAUGUGCAGUGCGAUGGUGCGGGGGCUCAUGCGCAAUGGCGAGUCCACGCAUCUCCUGCGCCCCGGAACCCUCUCCUUCCCAGCAUAGCAGGAGCAGGAGCAAGGAUGCCGAGGCGGUUCAGUCGCGAGGAAGAGUAUCAGGCAGAGAGGGUUUCACAACACUGACAAGUCUUUGCUUUCCAGGAUUGCCAUGUCUGUUGGCUACUGCAGGGAGCUAUGGAUGGUGGUCUUGAUCUUCCGCACAGUGACAAGAGAUUUGCUGGCUUCAUGAAGGAUAAGAAGCAGCUGGGCGCGGGCGCUGAGAUUCACCUCAAAUACAUCUAUGAAGGUCAUGUUGCUGACUACAUGAAGUCAAUAGCUGAUGAGAAACCUAAGAAGUACCAAUCUCACUUCAGUGAGUACAUCAAGAAGAACUGAAGAAGAUCAAUGGUUACAGAUGCCACAAGGCUUGCCUAAUAAAGGUUCCCAGAGAAGGAAUGGUUUGACAAAAAAAGGCUUUGCUCUCCAAGUGCAGAACACUUUCCCACUCCCCAUCGAUGACGAUCUUCCUGUAUGAGCAUUUUCAUCUGUGCUCCCUAUUUUCCUUGCUCCACUAAGAAUGAAGCCAUUAACAGUUGGCUGUAAUUGCGGGAUAGCUCUUUUAGCACCACAAAAGUUAUUCGGAAAGGUUUCUUUAUGGUCUACUUUACAAGAGAAAACAUUUCUCUGGAAGGAGCUGCUGACAAGGCUUAACAACAAACUGGACGGAGUUCUUCACAUGGCAAACAUAGAUGAAGGAACGAUGUAUGCCUUCACCUUCAGACGCAA
Molecule: long non-coding RNA, 5480 nt
Organism: Triticum aestivum (bread wheat)
Lineage: Eukaryota; Viridiplantae; Streptophyta; Magnoliopsida; Poales; Poaceae
Exons: 7
Source: RefSeq, a predicted model, not a curated record